GACAAACGCUGGCGGCGUGCCUAAAACAUGCAAGUCGAACGAUCCUUCGGGAUAGUGGCGGACGGCUGAGUAACACGUAGGUAACCUACCCUUGAGUGGGGAAUAACUCCUCGAAAGAGGAGCUAAUACCGCAUACGAUCGCGCGCUCACGGGCGUGUGAGGAAAGCAGCAAUGCGCUCGAGGAUGGGCCUGCGUCCGAUUAGCUUGUUGGUGAGGUAAAGGCNCACCAAGGCGACGAUCGGUAGCUGGUCUGAGAGGAUGAUCAGCCAGACUGGGACUGCGACACGGCCCAGACUCCUACGGGAGGCAGCAGUUAGGAAUCUUGGGCAAUGGGCGAAAGCCUGACCCAGCAACGCCGCGUGGGUGAUGAAGGCCU
RNAcentral lists this ribosomal RNA (376 nucleotides) under uncultured bacterium. RNAcentral describes it as "partial 16S ribosomal RNA". It matches the Rfam family "Bacterial small subunit ribosomal RNA", at positions 28 to 417 of the family's 1533-position model. The record is from RNAcentral.